AAAUAUCACCAUGUUGUCUUUAAGAUGAGGAAUAUACUGGAUGAAUUAGGAUACAAAGUAAGCAGAGUCUAUGAGAACUAGUAGUAUUGGUUUCUGGAAGCCCAAAUCCUUUAAUUACGACUGCAAAUGGGGAUAAUUAAGUAUGUUGCUGGGGAGACACGAGAUCCGAUGAAGGGUUACUGUAUUCGAAAGAGAACUCGCAUUUGCCAACGGAAACACGAGAUUAUCAAAUCAUUUCUCUGCGGCCAUGCAGGAGCACCGUCAGGAAAGGUUUUUGUUCAACAAAUCGAUUCGCAGGCGUGGUUAUGCAUUAAGGAACUUGCCUCCAAACCACGUAGUCUGGGUUCAGGCCCACUGCGUAGCACCUUGCCACGGAAGUAUGAAAAGCAAGGCCUCGGCGAGAUUUGAACUCAGGACAGAAAGCGUCGUAGCUAAACGCCUUCAGUAUUUGGUUCGGCGCUCCAACGAUUUCACCGAAUUAUAUCAAUGAUGAAAAUGACUUUCAAAAUGAAAAUGGAUAACUCGAAGAUCUGAAAACGAAUUAACUAAUUCGUUUGGCACGGAUUAAGAUAUAUGAGCCGAGUGGGUUUGUUGAUGAAGAUAUAUGAUGAAGAUGGUGGAGCAGUGUGACGGUGUAAGGCUGUCACAGGCUCAAAUAUAUGACUCGGUAGUGUCACAGAAGAAGAUCUAUGACUUGUCUUUGAGAAAAAAUGUAAAAAGAAAUAUUAAACAAAAAUAACAUUGAAAGUUUGGAUUAAAAAACAAAAGGCGUAAAAGUCUGUCGCUCUACCUGCCAAAAGCAUUUGUUGUCGUUCCACAAUAUAAUGAAGCUGUUGUUGUUUCGAGACACUGCCCGGUCACUUCUCAAUAUCCAUAUCUAUGAUCAAAAACAUUACAUUCUUAUUUCAUCUUUUAUUCAAACAUAGGGCAUCUUGGAAUACAUUGUCCAAUAUGUCAUUAAUUGUUUAAGAGUGUGAUUUAAGGGAUUUUUUUGGCUGCUAUUACUAGCAUGUCCACUGACUACUUGGAAGCUUACCUACUUAAUUCAUCAGCCCCGAAAGGAUGAAAAGGCAGAGUCGACCUCGGUGGAAUUUGAACUCAGAACGUGCAGUAGACGGACAAAAUGCCACUAAGCAAAGUUUUUGGCAAAAGACCAGCAAUUUUCGAGAACUUCGUCCCUCCCCAGUGCAUAACUGGUACUUGUUUUAUUGACACUGGAAGGAUGAAAAGGCAAAGUCGACCUCGGUGGAAUUUGUGACAACCGAACGUAAUGAGCCACAAGAAGUGCUGUCAAGCAUUUUGUUCGACGCGCUAAUGUUUCUGACUGACCGUCGGCUUAGUAGUAGUAGUAGUAGUAGUAGUAGUAGUAGUAGUAGUAAUAAUAAUAAUAAUAAUAAUAAUAAUAAUAAUAAUAAUAAUAAUAAUAAUAAGGAUAAAAUCAUAAUUAUCAUUUUCGUGUCACUCUAAUAAAUUUAUCGACUUUCUCGCCCUUUAAAAUACAAUAACAAAAUAAUAAACAUAAAUGACAGGAAAACACACAGAAAAAAAGAAAAAGUAAUAGAAAUAAAGCGACGGAUAAUGUGAGGCUUUCAGUAGAUAAUUUUAUUGUGAAGUCAGUUUGAUAGAGGCUGUUUGAUAGAAAGUCUCCUGGGGGAAUGUUAUAAACGAGCUUUUGUGGACACUAUGCUAGGCUUCUUCCUUAGACCAAAAAAUAAAUAAAUAAAUGAAUAAAUAAAUGAAUAAAAUAAAAAAUAAAUAAAAUUUCAAAAAUACAAAUAUGAUAAAAAUGAAUAUAAAAUAAAUAAAAGAAAUGUAAAAAAAUAAUAAUGAAUAAUAAAACGAACGAAAAUACCGGAAAAAAAAGACAAGAUAAUAAGAAAGAAAUAAAAUACAAAAAUAUGAAGAGAAUUCGAGAAUGACAAUAACAACAACAACAACAGCGAAUGACAAUAACUGCAGCAACAACAAUGAUAGUAAUGACAAUAAGACCAGCAACAAGCUACUACAAUAACAACAACAAUAUCGUCAACAAACCAAAAAUUAGAACAAAAUGAAAUAAUAAAUAAUUAACAGCAAAAUGGAAUAAAUAAAAACAAACACACACACACACACAAAUACCAUCAUCGACAAGAACAAGAAGAGGAGGGAAACAGCAAGAUAUGAAAUCUAGGAUAUGUGUGUGUGUGUGUGUGUGUGUGUGUGUGUGUGUUUAUGCGUGUGUGUACGUGUGUGUGCGUGUGUUGGUACAUCGCAGUUGGUGAACAAUAGUGCCGUACUUUCUAACGGACCAAUCGCUGGUUUACUGCAUCUCUGAGGAUAGAAGAAUAAUGCUGGGACGAUUACGAGUUGCUGCAAAAAUCAUUGUCCGCUCAAAGCAUUUCGUUCGAACAGCAACGAUUUCCGCCGAUCUACACGAUAUACCUACCUACCUACCUACCUACCUACCUACCUACCUAGCUCCCUCCCUCCCAACCUACCAACAUUCAGACAUACAAACACACAGAGAGACUCUCACAUAUAUAUGACAACCUUCAAAGAACUAGAAAUAACUAAUUAUUAUCCUAGCCUAAUACGAUUAUCCAUUAAGUUAAUCAAGCAAUAUCAUUAUAUGUAAUCAUGAACCCAUAAACAUGUUCAACCUUACAAGAAUGAAGGACAAAGCAGAAUAACAUAAUCACUAAUAUGCAUAUCAAACAUGCAUUCCCAUCCUCAGCUGCCUAACAUAUAGCACUAUGGUUUUGACACCUGGGCAAUAACGAUCAAUCUGGCGGUAUCAACAGAGUUAAAGACAUAAACUCUAUGUAGAAACAAAUAGAUAAGCAGCAGGAGCGAAUCUUUAGAUUUUUAACUAAAUUUGAAAUUGUUAUAAUGAUAAGCAGGUGUUGGCGAAAUGAGCAUAUUAUGCUAAUAUCUCGUAAUUCAGGUAAAUCAUUAGUCAACUGUUCAGGUGGGCAUUAUAUUUUAUAUUAUGUCGUCAACCAUUAUCAGUAAUUCAGAAAGCUACAGUCUUCUCACACACAUUGUGUUACUCUGUGUAGUUGAGGAUUAAUUAAGUGUACAUGUGUCUGCGGAAUACUCAGCCACUUACUCGUUAACUCAAUGAGCAGAUGAUUCAAUUGAUCUAACAACUGUAAAAUCAUUGUCGAAACUGACGGAGAACCAUCCUUACUGCCCGCCAUUCGUUUUAUAUUGUUGUAUUUCAUACCCAGUAAUAUGUCCUUCAGUCUUUUUUUAAAAAAAUCCUUCGGUAGUGAUUUGAAGGGUAUUUGACUGCUAUUUCUAUUUCUAUCAGAUCGGUUGACUGUCAUCGACGACGCACUAUCACCAAACAAAAAGAAACAACAAAGCAAAUAUAAAAAACAAAACAACAUAUUUAUUUGAUGUUUGUAUUAUAUGCAUUGUUGUUGUUGUCGAUGAUGAUGAUAAUGAUGUUGGUAUUGUUUUCGCUCUUGUUGUAAUCGCUGUCUGGCGCUAUGUUUUAUAUCGCUCUAUUUCUCAGUGUCCCUUUAUGUAUUUUAUUGGUAAAUUAGUCGCAAAUCGAUCGAUUUGGUUAUUUGAACUACAAAUAUCAAUACUGAAUGAGACACAAUGAUUGAUUUGGUUUGAUUAAUCAUUAUGUUUGAUGAGAAUGACAGUGAUUAUGAUGAUGUAUUAAUAAGUGGUAGAAAAUAAUUGGUGAAAGCCUUGAAACUUGUGGGAAGCGUGGGAUGAUGAUUGUCGAUCAUAUCGACACGUAAACGUGUCUGCUAUUUUAUUUUACGAAGCCCAAGGUGGAGCAAAGCAGAGAGAUUUGUAGAUUUGAUCUCAGUGGGGACAGAACCGGAACGAAUUCCACAAGCAAUAUUUAUUCUGGUCAUACACACAAAGGGAGCUCAUAGCCUUUUUUCUAUCUCCAUUUGUUUACUAAUAAAAUUCGUGUGUGUGUGUGUGUGUGUGUGUGUUCCCGAUUACAAUCGGAUCGUGUAGCAUUCUUUAUUUUUCGCAGAGUAUCAGACCAUAAAUUCAAUAUGUGAAUAAAGUUGU
Molecule: long non-coding RNA, 4023 nt
Organism: Octopus bimaculoides (California two-spot octopus)
Lineage: Eukaryota; Metazoa; Mollusca; Cephalopoda; Octopoda; Octopodidae
Source: RefSeq, a predicted model, not a curated record